Molecule: ribosomal RNA, 225 nt
Filed under: Coriobacteriales bacterium
Lineage: Bacteria; Bacillati; Actinomycetota; Coriobacteriia; Coriobacteriales
Description: partial 16S ribosomal RNA
Rfam family: Bacterial small subunit ribosomal RNA
Source: RNAcentral
CAAUUCGCCUCCAUGAAGUCGGAGUUGCUAGUAAUCGCGGAUCAGCACGCCGCGGUGAAUACGUUCCCGGGUCUUGUACACACCGCCCGUCAAACCAUCCGAGUUGUCUGCACCCGAAGCCGCCGGCCCAACCUCGUGAGGGAGGUGUCGAAGGUGUGGAGAGUAAGGAGGGUUAAGUCGUAACAAGGUACCCCUACCGGAAGGUGGGGGUGGAUCACCUCCUUU